AUGUGGGCCACCGCACCAGCGGGAUCCAGAUCUGGGCGUAGAGAAGCCCCCAGAUCAUGCAUGGCAGCUCACAGGGACACCGCGUCGCCCGAGCCCGCACGCUGCGCUGACCACCAGCUCCGCCCUGCACCACCAGCCCCCGGUCUCAGCCACGGGGAACGCCGGCGAAGGGAGCAGGCUGCCGCCCCAAGGGAGCAAGAUCUGAAGCUGGAGCUCCCUGGGGAUAGAGCAGCGCCGAGUCCCCUGCCGAGCCGUCCGUGGCUCCGCACCCCCCGCGCCGCCGCACUGCACACCCACUGCGUGGGCAUGCCCACAUCCGCACGUGAGUCCCGUCGCCAGCCGAGCGCCCCGCGCCGCCACGCCUGGACGAGAGGAGGGUGA
Molecule: ribosomal RNA, 381 nt
Filed under: Triticum aestivum (bread wheat)
Lineage: Eukaryota; Viridiplantae; Streptophyta; Magnoliopsida; Poales; Poaceae
Description: partial small subunit ribosomal RNA
Source: RNAcentral